GGCUUCGUGGUCGAGUGGUAAGGAGAUCUGGCCCUCACACUGGUGUCCCGGGUUCGAUUCCCGGUCGAGUAGCUA
Molecule: non-coding RNA, 75 nt
Organism: Rhamnusium bicolor
Lineage: Eukaryota; Metazoa; Arthropoda; Insecta; Coleoptera; Cerambycidae
Source: the annotation of a GenBank genome assembly